RNAcentral lists this ribosomal RNA (497 nucleotides) under uncultured bacterium. Its description in RNAcentral is "partial 16S ribosomal RNA". It matches the Rfam family "Bacterial small subunit ribosomal RNA", at positions 28 to 507 of the family's 1533-position model. The record is from RNAcentral.
GAUGAACGCUGGCGGCGUGCCUAAUACAUGCCAGUCGAGCGAACGGACGAGAAGCUUGCUUCUCUGAUGUUAGCGGCGGACGGGUGAGUAACACGUGGAUAACCUACCUAUAAGACUGGGAUAACUUCGGGAAACCGGAGCUAAUACCGGAUAAUAUUUUGAACCGCAUGGUUCAAAAGUGAAAGACGGUCUUGCUGUCACUUAUAGAUGGAUCCGCGCUGCAUUAGCUAGUUGGUAAGGUAACGGCUUACCAAGGCAACGAUGCAUAGCCGACCUGAGAGGGUGAUCGGCCACACUGGAACUGAGACACGGUCCAGACUCCUACGGGAGGCAGCAGUAGGGAAUCUUCCGCAAUGGGCGAAAGACUGACGGAGCAACGCCGCGUGAGUGAUGAAGGUCUUCGGAUCGUAAAACUCUGUUAUUAGGGAAGAACAUAUGUGUAAGUAACUGUGCACAUCUUGACGGUACCUAAUCAGAAAGCCACGGCUAACUACGUG